Molecule: small RNA, 129 nt
Filed under: Arabidopsis thaliana (thale cress)
Lineage: Eukaryota; Viridiplantae; Streptophyta; Magnoliopsida; Brassicales; Brassicaceae
Description: ATSL176390
Source: RNAcentral
AUUAUGUUUGUCAAAAUUUAGUAAAAUAUAUUCAAAUAUAAUUAAAUUUAUUAAAACUUAACAAAUUUAAAAGUUUUUUUUGUUUGGAGACCCGCUAUCUACAUACAAAAUACCCGUUUCUAUUUUUUU